GAGUUUGAUCGUGGCUCAGAUUGAACGCUGGCGGCAUGCCUUACACAUGCAAGUCGAACGGCAGCAUGAUCUAGCUUGCUAGAUUGAUGGCGAGUGGCGAACGGGUGAGUAAUACAUCGGAACGUGCCCUGUAGUGGGGGAUAACUAGCCGAAAGAUUAGCUAAUACCGCAUACGACCUGAGGGUGAAAGUGGGGGACCGCGAGGCCUCAUGCUAUAGGAGCGGCCGAUGUCUGAUUAGCUAGUUGGUGGGGUAAAGGCCCACCAAGGCGACGAUCAGUAGCUGGUCUGAGAGGACGAUCAGCCACACUGGGACUGAGACACGGCCCAGACUCCUACGGGAGGCAGCAGUGGGGAAUUUUGGACAAUGGGCGAAAGCCUGAUCCAGCAAUGCCGCGUGUGUGAGAAGGCCUGGUGUAAG
RNAcentral lists this ribosomal RNA (419 nucleotides) under uncultured microorganism. RNAcentral describes it as "bacterial SSU rRNA". It matches the Rfam family "Bacterial small subunit ribosomal RNA", at positions 9 to 429 of the family's 1533-position model. The record is from RNAcentral.